CAGCCAUGGAGACGGAUCGAUGACUUGGCACACACCCACCCACGACCCACACAGCCCCGGGCCCCACCCACGAUGCACACACACCCACGCCCAACCCACGCACACACACCCAUGUUGGAUCCCAUCUCUCUCGUCUUCCUCGAUCCCCUUUCUCCACCCCACGCCGCCGCCAGAUUCCGGCGAUCCCCGCGGUUCCCCACUACCUAGCUCUCCUCCCCGAGGUCACCUCUCCCCGCUCACCAUCUCCACUGACCGGUUUCUCUCCUCGCCCAGGAGAGCCACGCCCAGGCACUGGUGGUGGUGCGCCGCGAGGAGGCCCCAGCGGCGUCGAGCUGCUGUUGCUGUGGGCACAACGCCGUCGGCGUGGUCAGGAUGGUCGCAGCCCUUCAAGAUUCUCAAUGGCGGCAUCUCGGCGCUGAUGACGGAGUCGACGGCGAGCAUCGGCGGGUACAUGGCGUCGGGGUACCGGAGGGUGGCUGGCGUGCAGCUCUACAUCAACCACCUCAAGCCUGCCCGCCUCGGCGACCGCAUCAAGGCCAAGGCAAACCCCAUCCGGUACCUCGACCCCGACGCGUACUUGGACAAGGACCAGCUGCUGGACGCGGUGCAUUGGAUCCGGCAGGCGGUGGGGCUCGCCUGCGGCCUGCUCUGGGGCGCUGUCCCCCUCGUCGUCGCCUUCUGGAUCGCCCUAGUUACUUGGAAAUAUUGACAUUCUCAAACCAAAUAUGAGGUGCCCUUUAUUCAGUCCAUGGGAGUAUAUGUUUUGGAUUGGGAGGGGAAAAUGCUCUUCUUUCAGUCUCUGUUGAAGUCAAACCCAUCCAUGCAAAAUCUUUACUUAGUAGAAUUAAUCUAGAUGAAUAUAUAUGCCCUGCAGUUUUAUCGUGCAUGCCAUUCAACUAACUUGCUCUUGUCCAUGCAGACGGAGUAG
Molecule: RNA transcript, 928 nt
Organism: Triticum dicoccoides
Lineage: Eukaryota; Viridiplantae; Streptophyta; Magnoliopsida; Poales; Poaceae
Exons: 4
Source: RefSeq, a predicted model, not a curated record